Molecule: ribosomal RNA, 219 nt
Filed under: uncultured bacterium
Lineage: Bacteria
Description: partial 16S ribosomal RNA
Rfam family: Bacterial small subunit ribosomal RNA
Source: RNAcentral
UAAUGUAUGGGGAUCUGCCCGAUAGAGGGGGAUAACUACUGGAAACGGUGGCUAAUACCGCAUAAUGUCUACGGACCAAAGCAGGGGCUCUUCGGACCUUGCACUAUCGGAUGAACCCAUAUGGGAUUAGCUAGUAGGUGGGGUAAAGGCUCACCUAGGCGACGAUCUCUAGCUGGUCUGAGAGGAUGAUCAGCCACACUGGGCUGAGACACGGCCCAG